CCUACGGGUGGCAGCAGUAGGGAAUAUUGCUCAAUGGGGGAAACCCUGAAGCAGCAACGCCGCGUGGAGGAUGAAGGUUUUCGGAUUGUAAACUCCUUUUGUUAGGGACGAUAAUGACGGUAUCUAACGAAUAAGCACCGGCUAACUCCGUGCCAGCAGCCGCGGUAAUACGGAGGGUGCAAGCGUUACUCGGAAGCACUGGGCGUAAAGAGCGCGUAGGCGGGAUAGCAAGUCAGAUGUGAAAUCCUAGGGCUUAACCAUAGAACUGCAUUUGAAACUGUUAUUCUAGAGUAUGGGAGAGGUAGGUGGAAUGCUUGGUGUAGCGGUAAAAUCCGUAGAGAUCAAGAGGAAUACUCAUUGCGAAGGCGACCUGCUAGAACAUAACUGACGCUGAUGCGCGAAAGCGUGGGGAGCAAACAGGAUUAGAUACCCGGGUAGUC
This 440-nucleotide ribosomal RNA is filed under the name uncultured bacterium. RNAcentral's name for it is "partial 16S ribosomal RNA". It matches the Rfam family "Bacterial small subunit ribosomal RNA", at positions 338 to 795 of the family's 1533-position model. The record is from RNAcentral.